GAAGUUCGCGGCAGAGAUAAGAGAUCCAAAAAAGAAUGGUGCUAGGGUUUGGCUUGGUACUUAUGUGACUGAGGAGGAAGCAGCUUUGGCUUACGACAAAGCUGCUUUUAAGAUGCGUGGCCGAAAGGCCAAGCUUAAUUUUCCCCACCUCAUUGGCUCUGAUGUGUUUACACCAGAGCCAGAGAAGGAGGUGGUUUUGAAACGGGAAUCACCGGAGCCUUCUUCAUCGGAGGAAAGUUGUGAGUCAUCGUCACCAAGGUUAAAGAGGAGGAGGGGCACGGUUGACCUACUUAACAAACUAGCCAAGAAUAGAUGCCAAGCUAAGGUGGUUGAAAUUGAAACGGCAUCAUCACAUGCUAAUGAUUUUGAGCAAUGGGUGAAUGAGUUGAGUGAUAGCUCUCUAAUUUGGUUCUCUUAGCUAGGGUUGUAUCAUUUUAAUUUUUCUGUUUCGCAGCUCCUAAGUUAAAUAGUUUUUCUGUGAGUGUAGCUGCUCCUACUUAGUUUGAGAUCAUUUUUUUCAUUACUCUGAUGAACUUCGAUGGGUGAUGUUUAAGCAAAGCUACGACUUUAUUGUAUUUUUUUUUUCCAACAGAGCACUCAUUUCUUUGGAUUUAUUGUUAAAUUGAUGAAAACUAUGUCUAAGUUUGCACAAUUUAAACUUAUUUUACAUUUGUUUGUUACCAAGAUAUUUGUUUUGAAAAUGUAACCCCAAAAUAUAAAUAAUAGCCUUUAUUCACAAGGAAUGGUCCUUCUAAUAUUGACUUCGAGAAAGCGUCAAAAGGCAAACCCCCACAAUUUUGAGUAAAAUAGUGAAUUUGGUAAAUAAAUAGAAGGGGAGUGCCUUGUCUUUUUUACGAAUGGCUAAUUGUUCUAAUGUAUUGUAUCCAUAUAGGUAGCUUUGGUUUUUGUUUUGAGGCUUCUAGAUUACUCAUUGUAGUUAGUUUGGUCUUUGUACUCAGUUUUCAGCUUCUUCCUAAUAAAAUAGUUUCAUUUGAUAUUAAAAAAGAAGAAGGGGAGUAGAUAUGCUAUUUUUUUAAGGUUCACCUUUGAACCAUUUUGAGGUCGAUCGUGUAGCAAGUGUGAGUUAGAAGUCCCGCUUAUAUAUAGCUUUAGUCUUCCACUUUCUUUGUAAUUAUAAACAAUGCGAGACAUUUUCAAUAUGUAUAUUUUCAACCAACACUAUCAAUCUUUAUUAAUUUUCAUUGCAUCUCACAACAUUCUAAGACAAGAUUAUAAGAAAAAAUAAUAUGUCAUAUACAAACUUAAAGUAUUUCUAAGUAAUGUAUCUUGUACGAAGACUUAGAGCUCCUGUAUCUAGCCUUGUUAUCCCUCUUCCUUAUAAUUCUAAGGAACUAAGACUUUUUCAACAUGUAUAUAUUUUCAACUAACAACAAUUUUUGAAUUUCAAGCGUGAGUGAUCAAGUCCUACAUCACCUUAAGGGUAUAGAUGAAGAUGCGGCGUCUCCAUCUCUUGUAGUCUUGGAGCAUUGACUUGACCCCAAACUCUCCAACAAGUGAUAUUAGAGCCCAUAUUCGGCUUAGUGGGGAAUGAGAGUUGGAUCCGUCGUUGGAUCCUAUUAUAGAAGUGGGAACUCACACUUGAGGGGAAGAUUGUUGGAUUUCAAGUGUUAGUUGUUAAGUCUCACAUCUCUUCUCAAUGGAUGAAAGGUUGGAUAUGUAAGAGAGGUAGUUCAUAUAUCUAAUGUCUUAAGGAUUUAGGGGGAUAUGUGUCGUCUUCCUUUUUUGUGGUCUUCAAGCAUUGAACCGUUGUUACUCCCAUGAUCUUGUACACUCUUCAACAAAGAAGGUAUUCCACUUAGUUUGGCUCACAACAUUUUCGUGCAUUUGUUUGGAGAUCAAUAGUAAAAUCAAAUUAAACAAUGAGUUAGCGGUAAUGUGUUUUCAAGUGCAAUCCAAAUGCGACAACAUAGCAUAUGAAGUCUACCCACCUUCUAAAGGUUGCAGAGCUUUCACCAAAUCACGUGUGCCACUAUCAGACACAAUAAUCUUAAUUUUAAAUCGAUCAGUUUGGUGGAUAGAGGGGAUUUAAUUAAACUUUUUUCAUUGGAAGAGGUAAAGCAAGCAAUGUACGACUGUGACAAUUUCAAGAGUUCAGGACCGGAUGAGAUAAAUUUGCUUUGAAGGUUAUUUGGCUCUCUAUGGUGUGGGUGAUUUGAAAAGAAAGAUACACACGUUUAUUUUCAAAACAAGGAGGAUCAAUUACAAAGUUUAUAUUAAAAGAAUAAGAUUCAAACUUUUUGGUGGUUAAAAUCGACAUAUGUUACAUUCAAUUUCGAUUACCAUUAUUGGAGACUUAAUCAUCUUCAUUGCUUGUUUGUUUGUUACCUAGCAUGUUUCCCUCUUUGUUUUUGCUUUGUUCUUUUUAGACCUGGUUUUCUAACUUUGUAACUUUCUCGAAGACUUCUCUAACACAUCUUGUGCUAGAAAUAUUUUUUUUGCUUUGGUUAAUAUAUUUUAUUUUGACAUAUUAAAAAAAAUAAAAAUAAAUAAUUUGUUAUUGUUAUUGUUAUUGGUGCUCAGUAAUGUAAUCACUUUUAAAGUGACGCUACAUUUAAUACUAAAUGUUAAUUUGAUAAAGUUUCAUGAUUAAAAGAUAUAUUUUUUUAGGGAUGAUUAGAAGAUAUUAUUAUCCGUAUACAACAAUGCAUUUAAUAAUGCAUUUACUAAUGGUGCAUUAUACGUUAUCAUUGCCAAAAUAAAAUACUAACGUUAUCAUUGCCAAAAUAAAAUACUCCUAUUGGGUUUAUCCAUAAAGCUGAUAUUAUUUUUUGUUCCUAGCAUUUUUUUUCCUUCAAGAUAAUCCUAUUUGAGGUGUAUGAGACACUAAUUAUCUAUUUAAAUCAAAGUUUGAAUUUUUACUAACUCCAAAUGUUUAGUUUAGUGGUAAAAAGACAUCUUUUAAAUUUAAAUAGAGGGAGAUAAAAAAAUACGUCCGAACUAACAAUCUCUCGACCCUAAAUUUUUAUUAGCAAAUAAAAAAAUAUUUGAAUUUUAAUUCACUACACGUGUAGGAGUCUAAUUCAUUCGUGUUUUUGAAUUCUGUUUAUUCAUAAAACCAAUAAUUUUUUUAAGGAAUAUAAAAGGGCCUAGGCCAUAAAAAAAGACAAUAACAAAUGAAUUAAAAGAAAAACAUAAAUUCCCCUAAUAUCAACUAGAACCAAAUGUUUAAUGUUCUCGUAAAUUUUACUCGGUUGAUAUAGACAAUACAUAAUAUAUGUAGGGUCUGGAGUUCAAACCCCGACCACCACAACAAAAAAAUCAAAUGUCAAAGUUGAACCGAAGCGAAAAUACUCAUUUAUUGUCAACCCAUCACUAGAGUCGCACCCAUAUUAGUUUAAGAAUCUAAACAAUCGCUAUAAAACAAGUUACAAUGUCCAUGCGUGAUAACCAAAAGCAAUAAACUAAUUAUAUUCAACAAAGGGAGAAGAGAUUAAAAAAUAUAUAAAAAAAUAAGGGUUUUGUUAUACAUUUAUUGAACAACUGAAAGUGAUGACCAUUGGCACAACUCAAAAAUUCAUGAAGUUUCACAGAAAUGACCUUAAGGGAAUAUAUAGAUUAAAUAAUGAAAUACCACACGCGGUUUCAAUGUUAGUUUUUGAAUAAACAAUUUCAUAAACAAGAAUUGUUGCAAUAUAUAAAUAAAGUUAGUAUAGCACCAUAUCCACAAGUCUCAUUGCUUCCACAAACGGUAGACUUUAGAUCCAAAAUACCACUACUCUUUCCUCCAAAACAUGGCUUCAACCACCAAAGACUCAGAUUUGGAAUAUUUGGAACACAUUCAACAAUACCUUCUUUUUGAUGAUUCUAGCAUGCUGAAAUCUCAUCAACCUUUUCCAAGCCCUAAAAGUGACAAUGAUUUAGACACAACUGUAGAGGCGCGUGAAGUAAGCAUGCCUCCUGUAUGGAAGCGGUACAAGGGAGUGAGGCGUAGGCCAUGGGGGAAGUUCGCAGCUGAGAUAAGAGAUCCAAAAAAGAAUGGUGCUAGAGUUUGGCUUGGAACGUAUGUGACUGAGGAGGAAGCAGCUUUGGCUUACGACAAAGCUGCUUUUAAGAUGCGAGGCCGAAAGGCCAAGCUUAAUUUUCCCCACCUCAUUGGCUCUGAUGUGUCUACAUCUGAGCCAGAGAGGGAGGUGGUUUUGAAAAGGGAAUCACCCGAGCCUUCUUCUUCUUCAUCGGAGGGAAGUUGUGAGUCAGUGUCACCAGGGUUGAAGAGGAGGAGGGGCAUGGUUGACCUACUUAACAAAUUAGCCAAGAAUAGAAGCCAAGUAGCCACGGUGGUUGGCGUUGAAAAGGCCUCACAAGCAAAUGAUUUUGAGCAGUGGGUGAAUGAGUUGAAUGAUUGCACUCUAAUCUAGAGCUCAUAGUGUAGUUGCAUUUAUUU
RNAcentral lists this long non-coding RNA (4402 nucleotides) under Medicago truncatula (barrel medic). Its description in RNAcentral is "long non-coding RNA (MTRU_LNC005366)". Lineage: Eukaryota; Viridiplantae; Streptophyta; Magnoliopsida; Fabales; Fabaceae. The record is from RNAcentral.